GUAGUCCACGCUGUAAACGAUGGAUACUAGGUGUGGGGGGACUGACCCCCUCCGUGCCGCAGUUAACACAAUAAGUAUCCCACCUGGGGAGUACGAUCGCAAGGUUGAAACUCAAAGGAAUUGACGGGGGCCCGCACAAGCGGUGGAGUAUGUGGUUUAAUUCGAAGCAACGCGAAGAACCUUACCAGGGCUUGACAUCCCGAUGACCGGCAUAGAGAUAUGCUUUUCUCUUCGGAGACAUCGGUGACAGGUGGUGCAUGGUUGUCGUCAGCUCGUGUCGUGAGAUGUUGGGUUAAGUCCCGCAACGAGCGCAACCCUUAUUGUUAGUUGCUACGCAAGAGCACUCUAGCGAGACUGCCGUUGACAAAACGGA
This 373-nucleotide ribosomal RNA is filed under the name uncultured bacterium. RNAcentral's name for it is "bacterial SSU rRNA". It matches the Rfam family "Bacterial small subunit ribosomal RNA", at positions 790 to 1167 of the family's 1533-position model. The record is from RNAcentral.